ACGAGCGCUUCCCCAGGCCGCGCUCCUCGCAGAGGCGCGCCGCGGCGCUCGGGCUGUUCGGCUCCGGGCUGGCGGGCCCCCGGCAGGGCACGGGGACCGGCCCAGCUGAGCCCGCCGCCUCCGUCGAACCGGCCCUCGGCCGGCACCGCCCACCUGCCCGGCGGGGCGGCCCCGGGAGCGAGAGGUCGAGCAGUGCAAGGCAGUUCGUUCUGCAUUUUUAGUUGCGCCACGUAACCCCGGGAAGCCGCAGGUCAGUAUAAGUUCAGAGACCUGACCAUAGAAGAGCUAAAGAAUGUUAACAAGAGCUAUCCAAACUUCACGUUCUCCAUGAACACAUACACCUUCAAGGAUGGAUCCCAGAAGGACCUCCUGAAUUUUACUGGGACUGUUCCAGUGAGAUAUGGUAAUUCCUAUAACAUACCUAUUCAUCUGUGGAUUCUGGAUUCUCAUCCCUUUGCUCCUCCUAUUUGCUUCUUAAAGCCAACUGUGAACAUGGGCAUUUUAGUGGGAAAGCAUGUUGAUGCUCACGGCAGGAUUUAUUUGCCUUACCUGCAAAACUGGAGCCAUCCUAAGUCAACUGUCAUUGGAUUGAUCAAGGAAAUGGUUACAAAAUUUGAGGAAGAGCUGCCUUUGUAUUCGCUUUCAUCUUCCGAUGCAGCCAGGCAGGCAGAACUUCUGUCCUACAUUGCAAAGGUUACUGAAGGAGUGACUGACAUGAAAUCAAAGAGUGAAUUUGGUGGAGGCAAAAGUGAAGGAUGUUUUAACAAAAUUACUGUUGUUGGAGCUGGAGAUCUUGGCAUUGCGUGUGUGCUAGCAGUUGCAGCAAAGGGUGCUGCAGACAGGGUGGUUCUUCUGGAUCUUUCUGAAGGUGCAGCAAAAGGAGGCACCAUGGACUUGGAGAUCUUUGCUCUGCCAAAUGUGGAGAUCAGCAAAGAUUUUUCUGCUUCAGCUGAUUCAAAAGUUGUGGUACUUACAGUUAAUUCUCUGGGUAAUGCUCAGACUUACCUUGAUGUAAUACAAAGCAACGUGGAUUUGUUCAGAGGAAUUAUCCCAGCAAUAUCGCACUACAGUCAGAACACUGUUCUCCUUGUUGCUUCUCAUCCAGUUGAAGUAAUGACAUAUGUGUCAUGGAAGCUGAGCGCGUUUCCGAAAAGCAGAGUUAUUGGAGUAGGUGCCAACCUAGAUACUGAGAGGUUUCAGUAUAUACUGGCAAAUCUUUUGAAAGCUCAGGUGCUGGCAAAAGAUGCUUGGAUUAUUGGUGAACAAGGGGAAGACAAAGUACCAUUGUGGACCAGUUGUAAUUUAGUUGCAAAUCAAAUGGAAGCAGUGGCUGCUCGUAACUCAAGAGAAAAGGUGGCUAGCAGAGCUAUGGAAGUUCUGAAGGGAAAAGGCCAGAGGUCUUGGUCUGUUGGGCUCUCAGUGGCUGAUUUGACGGACAGUAUACUGAAAGAUAAAAGAAAGGUUCAUUCAGUAUCCACUCUGGCAAAGGGAUGUUGCAAUAUAAACAGUGAAGUAUUCUUAAGUCUACCGUGUAUUCUUGGAACCAGUGGAGUGAUUGAAAUGGUCAAACUAGAAGAAGAUCCACUAGUGCAAGAGAAACUGCAAAGCAGUGCGGGAUUAAUUCAUGACCUUCAGCAGCAACUGAAACUUAUAAAUAUAGAGACCUAACUGUACAGGAGACAACCAGUGUUAUUACUCAGUACAAGGACCUCAAACCUGUCAUGGAUUCAUAUGUUUUUAAUGACGGUUCAUCAAGGGAGUUGAUGAGCCUCAGUGGAACCAUUCCUG
This is an RNA transcript of Falco peregrinus (peregrine falcon), 1788 nucleotides long. It is a transcript of the gene named UEV and lactate/malate dehyrogenase domains, with no coding region annotated. NCBI's taxonomy places the organism in Eukaryota, Metazoa, Chordata, Aves, Falconiformes, Falconidae. The transcript is spliced from 14 exons. The record is from RefSeq and is a predicted model, not a curated record.